UACGGAGGGUGCAAGCGUUAUCCGGAAUCACUGGGUUUAAAGGGUGCGUAGGCGGUUUGAUAAGUCAGAGGUGAAAGCUAGCAGCUUAACUGUUAAAUUGCCUUUGAUACUGUCAGACUUGAAUCAAGUUGAGGUAGGCGGAAUGUGACAUGUAGCGGUGAAAUGCAUAGAUAUGUCAUAGAACACCAAUUGCGUAGGCAGCUUGCUGGGCUUGAAUUGACGCUGAGCCACGAAAGCGUGGGGAUCAAACAGG
This 253-nucleotide ribosomal RNA is filed under the name uncultured bacterium. Its description in RNAcentral is "partial 16S ribosomal RNA". It matches the Rfam family "Bacterial small subunit ribosomal RNA", at positions 524 to 776 of the family's 1533-position model. The record is from RNAcentral.